Molecule: ribosomal RNA, 116 nt
Filed under: Bacillus subtilis
Lineage: Bacteria; Bacillati; Bacillota; Bacilli; Caryophanales; Bacillaceae
Also listed under: 12 other names
Source: RNAcentral
UUUGGUGGCGAUAGCGAAGAGGUCACACCCGUUCCCAUACCGAACACGGAAGUUAAGCUCUUCAGCGCCGAUGGUAGUCGGGGGUUUCCCCCAGUGAGAGUAGGACGCCGCCAAGC